UCAACAAAAGAGAGGCCAGGCUUCAACACAAGGUUAGAAUUUUUCUUAGACAAAAAGCAUCCCAAACUUGCUGGCUACAUGGAAUGGAGCUCAUGUGCAC
Sapajus apella (tufted capuchin) is the source of this 100-nucleotide long non-coding RNA. RefSeq lists it as uncharacterized. The record is from RefSeq and is a predicted model, not a curated record. Lineage: Eukaryota; Metazoa; Chordata; Mammalia; Primates; Cebidae. The transcript has 3 exons.